GGAGUUAGCCGGUGCUUCUUCUGUGAGUGAUGUCCUUCCUGCCGGCUAUUAACCCGCAGGCCUUCUUCCUCACUGAAAGUGCUUUACAACCCGAAGGCCUUCUUCACACACGCGGCAUGGCUGGAUCAGGGUUGCCCCCAUUGUCCAAUAUUCCCCACUGCUGCCUCCCGUAGGAGUCUGGGCCGUGUCUCAGUCCCAGUGUGGCUGAUCAUCCUCUCAGACCAGCUACGGAUCGUCGCCUUGGUGAGCCGUUACCUCACCAACCAGCUAAUCCGACAUAGGCUCAUCCGAUAGCGCGAGGCCCGAAGGUCCCCCGCUUUCCCCCGUAGGGCGUAUGCGGUAUUAGCCUGGGUUUCCCCAGGUUAUCCCCCACUACCGGGCAGAUUCCUAUGCAUUACUCACCCGUCCGCCGCUCGCCACCAGGGAGCAAGCUACCCCGUGCUGCCGCUCGACUUGCAUGUGUUAGGCCUGCCGCCAGCGUUCAAUCUGAGCCAUGAUCAAACUCUGA
This 508-nucleotide ribosomal RNA is filed under the name uncultured bacterium. Its description in RNAcentral is "partial 16S ribosomal RNA". The record is from RNAcentral.